AGAGUUUGAUCAUGGCUCAGAUUGAACGCUGGCGGCACGCCUAACACAUGCAAGUCGAGCGGUAACAGGCGGGGUAGCAAUACCGCGUGCUGACGAGCGGCGGACGGGUGAGGAACACGUAGGGACCUGCCCUUAAGAGUGGGACAACCAAGGGAAACUUUGGCUAAUACCACAUGGCCUUGGGAAAGGAAAGCUGCCGGUCAAACGGUGGCGCUUAAGGAGGGGCCUGCGUCCGAUUAGCUAGUUGGUGGGGUAAAGGCCCACCAAGGCGAGGAUCGGUAACUGGUCUGAGAGGACGGCCAGUCACACUGGGACUGAGACACGGCCCAGACUCCUACGGGAGGCAGCAGUGGGGAAUCUUGGACAAUGGGGGCAACCCUGAUCCAGCGAUGCCGCGUGGGUGAAGAAGGCCUUCGGGUUGUAAAGCCCUUUAGGUUGGGACGAAGGGCGCUGCCGGACAAUGGCAGCGUUUUGACGGUACUAACAGAAUAAGCACCGGCAAACUCUGUGCCAGCAGCCGCGGUAAUACAGAGGGUGCAAGCGUUAAUCGGAGUUACUGGGCGUAAAGGGCGCGUAGGCGGUGGUACGGGUGUGGUGUGAAAGCCCUGGGCUUAACCUAGGAAGUGCACCGCAAACUGUGCGACUGGAGUAGGUGAGAGGGCGGCGGAAUUUCCGGUGUAGCGGUGAAAUGCGUAGAGAUCGGAAGGAACGUCAAUGGCGAAGGCAGCCGCCUGGCACCAUACUGACGCUGAGGCGCGAGAGCGUGGGGAGCGAACAGGAUUAGAUACCCUAGUAGUCC
This 799-nucleotide ribosomal RNA is filed under the name uncultured bacterium. Its description in RNAcentral is "bacterial SSU rRNA". It matches the Rfam family "Bacterial small subunit ribosomal RNA", at positions 8 to 796 of the family's 1533-position model. The record is from RNAcentral.